GCAAGUCGAACGAGAACGGGUUAUAGCUUGCUAUAACUGUCAGCUAAGUGGCGCACGGGUGAGUAAUAUAUAGGUAAUGUGCCCUAGAGAAGAGGAUAACAGUUGGAAACGACUGCUAAUACUCUAUAUGCCUUUAUCACAGAAGUGAGCAAGGGAAAUAUUUAUAGCUCUAGGAUGGGACUGUACGGUAUCAGAUAGUUGGUGAGGUAAUGGCUCACCAAGUCAAUGACGCCUAACUGGUUUGAGAGGAUGAUC
RNAcentral lists this ribosomal RNA (255 nucleotides) under uncultured bacterium. RNAcentral describes it as "partial 16S ribosomal RNA". It matches the Rfam family "Bacterial small subunit ribosomal RNA", at positions 57 to 305 of the family's 1533-position model. The record is from RNAcentral.